UACGUAGGGUGCGAGCGUUACUCGGAAUUACUGGGCGUAAAGCGUGCGCAGGCGGCUUUGCAAGACAGAUGUGAAAUCCCCGGGCUCAACCUGGGAACUGCUUUCAAAACUGCUGAGCUAGAGUACGGCAGAGGGGGAUGGAAUUCCGCGUGUAGCAGUGAAAUGCGUAGAUAUGCGGAGGAACACCAAUGGCGAAGGCAAUCCCCUGGGCCUGUACUGACGCUCAUGCACGAAAGCGUGGGGAGCAAACAGG
RNAcentral lists this ribosomal RNA (253 nucleotides) under uncultured bacterium. Its description in RNAcentral is "partial 16S ribosomal RNA". It matches the Rfam family "Bacterial small subunit ribosomal RNA", at positions 524 to 776 of the family's 1533-position model. The record is from RNAcentral.